RNAcentral lists this ribosomal RNA (301 nucleotides) under uncultured bacterium. RNAcentral's name for it is "partial 16S ribosomal RNA". It matches the Rfam family "Bacterial small subunit ribosomal RNA", at positions 509 to 807 of the family's 1533-position model. The record is from RNAcentral.
CAGCCGCCGCGGUAAUACGUAGGGUGCAAGCGUUAAUCGGAAUUACUGGGCGUAAAGCGUGCGCAGGCGGUUUGUUAAGACAGAUGUGAAAUCCCCGGGCUUAACCUGGGAACUGCAUUUGUGACUGGCAAGCUAGAGUAUGGCAGAGGGGGGUGGAAUUCCGCGUGUAGCAGUGAAAUGCGUAGAUAUGCGGAGGAACACCGAUGGCGAAGGCAGCCCCCUGGGCCAAUACUGACGCUCAUGCACGAAAGCGUGGGGAGCAAACAGGAUUAGAUACCCCCGUAGUCCCUGUCUCUUAUAC